AUUUACGGAUUGAUUCUCGUGCAAUCCCACUCACUUCAUGCCCUCGACUAUCUCCUUCCCUCCCUCGCUCCCUCCAGCUGAUCAUCUCUCCCUCAGAAUAUGAGAAACCCCAACAACAAAUAUUUUUGUCUCCAGAACUCUUCAAUUUUCGCUCUUCUAUUUCUCUCCUUAUUGUUUCACCACACUCUCCUCAUCUCUGGAAACUCACCAUCUCUUCUUAUCGACAACAUAACUCUUGAUUGUGGCUCCGCCCGCGGGGGACAUGAAAGAGAUGGGCGAAUCUGGACUCCAGAUGCCCAUUCCACAUUCUUGCUU
This 315-nucleotide unclassified non-coding RNA is filed under the name Hevea brasiliensis (rubber tree). Lineage: Eukaryota; Viridiplantae; Streptophyta; Magnoliopsida; Malpighiales; Euphorbiaceae. The record is from RNAcentral.